Molecule: long non-coding RNA, 739 nt
Organism: Hyposmocoma kahamanoa
Lineage: Eukaryota; Metazoa; Arthropoda; Insecta; Lepidoptera; Cosmopterigidae
Exons: 4
Source: RefSeq, a predicted model, not a curated record
GAAAUCUUAAAAAGGUAAGGCAAGGAGAAUAAAAUCUUAAAAAGGAACUGAUUUUUCUAUUUGUUGUUUGUGGAAACAGUAAUGGAUUCGUUGAAAGAACUUUUGGAAUCGUGGAAUAUACCACAAGUUGUAGUGACCAAUUUUAUUGAGAAUGGUAUAACGAUUGAACAUUUCCCCAAAUUAAAACUAGACAAUUUGAAAGAAUUAUGCCCACAUAUGGGGACUAGACUAUCUUUAGAGGAAAAGAUAGGGGAGCUUAUUACUGCACAGGCAACGACGGAUGCAGUAUCUGAAUCAACUGAUGAUCAAGUCAUUAUUACUCCCACCUCCAGUAAAUUUGAGACAAGCACCAGUGAUUGUUUAUUUUUGUUAGUUUUUUACCAGUUUAUUAGUUUCAUUAGAUGAACUACAAAUGGUCGACAUCUUGGAAACAACCAAAAGUGUAUCUAGAAAAACAUUUCCACAUUUUGAUUUGGAGACACUACUGCAUACGUCAGCAGGUGGCAAUAGUAUUUUAAAAUACUAUGAAACAUAUGGUUUUCUCAAUAAUACCAAGAGAAACCAGUUGACUGAUAUAAUUAUAAAACAUAUAUACACAUACAUUGUCAAUUACCGGAUAACCUAUGAAGAAUAUAAUAUUAUAUCUGCGAAAAUAAUAUCACUGUUUCCAAAGGAGUCAAUAGGCACUUAUUUUACCAAACCUAUAAAAAAAAAUAAUUCAUUUAAUGGACGUUCUACA